CCUACGGGAGGCUGCAGUGGGGAAUAUUGGACAAUGGGGGCAACCCUGAUCCAGCCAUGCCGCGUGUGUGAAGAAGUCCCUCGGGUUGUAAAGCACUUUCAGUGAGGAAGAACGCCUGGUGGUUAAUACCCAUCAGGAAAGACAUCACUCACAGAAGAAGCACCGGCUAACUCCGUGCCAGCAGCCGCGGUAAUACGGAGGGUGCGAGCGUUAAUCGGAAUUACUGGGCGUAAAGCGCGCGUAGGUGGCUUGAUAAGCCGGUUGUGAAAGCCCCGGGCUCAACCUGGGAACGGCAUCCGGAACUGUCAAGCUAGAGUGCAGGAGAGGAAGGUAGAAUUCCCGGUGUAGCGGUGAAAUGCGUAGAGAUCGGGAGGAAUACCAGUGGCGAAGGCGGCCUUCUGGACUGACACUGACACUGAGGUGCGAAAGCGUGGGUAGCAAACAGGAUUAGAUACCCGAGUAGUA
This 465-nucleotide ribosomal RNA is filed under the name Vreelandella stevensii. RNAcentral's name for it is "partial 16S ribosomal RNA". It matches the Rfam family "Bacterial small subunit ribosomal RNA", at positions 338 to 795 of the family's 1533-position model. The record is from RNAcentral. Lineage: Bacteria; Pseudomonadati; Pseudomonadota; Gammaproteobacteria; Oceanospirillales; Halomonadaceae.